Molecule: ribosomal RNA, 433 nt
Filed under: uncultured bacterium
Lineage: Bacteria
Description: partial 16S ribosomal RNA
Rfam family: Bacterial small subunit ribosomal RNA
Source: RNAcentral
AGCGAACGCUGGCGGCAGGCCUAACACAUGCAAGUCGAACGGCCACUUCGGAAUCGGCUGCAGAUGGGGGAGGCACACGGCGGACGGUUGCCGUUUGCUCGGAAUUCUGCUUGUAAGCUAGCGCUAAUACAGGAUACGCCCCGUUAGGGCAAGGCAGGCUGCCCAAGUAUCGGCCGGCGACCGUUUAGCUUGUUGGGGGGGUAAUGGCCUACCACGGCGAGGAUCAGUAGCUGGGCUGAGAGGAUGAGCCGCGACACUGGGACGCAGACACGGGGGAGACUCCUACGGGAGGCGGCAGUGGGGAAUACAGGAAAAUGGGCGCAAGCCUGAUCCAGCCAUGCUGCGUGAGUGAUGAAGGCGUGAGGGUUGUAAAGCUCUUUUGUCCGGGACGAUAAUGACGGUACCGGAAGAAUAAGCCCCGGCUAACUUCGUG